Molecule: ribosomal RNA, 1343 nt
Filed under: uncultured bacterium
Lineage: Bacteria
Description: 16S ribosomal RNA
Rfam family: Bacterial small subunit ribosomal RNA
Source: RNAcentral
GACGAACGCUGGCGGCGUGCUUAACACAUGCAAGUCGAACGGAAAGGCCCUGCUUUUGUGGGGUGCUCGAGUGGCGAACGGGUGAGUAACACGUGAGUAACCUGCCCUUGACUUUGGGAUAACUUCAGGAAACUGGGGCUAAUACCGGAUAGGAGCUCCUGCUGCAUGGUGGGGGUUGGAAAGUUUCGGCGGUUGGGGAUGGACUCGCGGCUUAUCAGCUUGUUGGUGGGGUAGUGGCUUACCAAGGCUUUGACGGGUAGCCGGCCUGAGAGGGUGACCGGCCACAUUGGGACUGAGAUACGGCCCAGACUCCUACGGGAGGCAGCAGUGGGGAAUAUUGCACAAUGGGCGGAAUCCUGAUGCAGCAACGCCGCGUGCGGGAUGACGGCCUUCGGGUUGUAAACCGCUUUCGCCUGUGACGAAGCGUGAGUGACGGUAAUGGGUAAAGAAGCACCGGCUAACUACGUGCCAGCAGCCGCGGUGAUACGUAGGGUGCGAGCGUUGUCCGGAUUUAUUGGGCGUAAAGGGCUCGUAGGUGGUUGAUCGCGUCGGAAGUGUAAUCUUGGGGCUUAACCCUGAGCGUGCUUUCGAUACGGGUUGACUUGAGGAAGGUAGGGGAGAAUGGAAUUCCUGGUGGAGCGGUGGAAUGCGCAGAUAUCAGGAGGAACACCAGUGGCGAAGGCGGUUCUCUGGGCCUUUCCUGACGCUGAGGAGCGAAAGCGUGGGGAGCGAACAGGCUUAGAUACCCUGGUAGUCCACGCUGUAAACGGUGGGUACUAGGUGUGGGGUCCAUUCCACGGGUUCCGUGCCGUAGCUAACGCUUUAAGUACCCCGCCUGGGGAGUACGGCCGCAAGGCUAAAACUCAAAGGAAUUGACGGGGCCCCGCACAAGCGGCGGAGCAUGCGGAUUAAUUCGAUGCAACGCGUAGAACCUUACCUGGGUUUGACAUGGAUCGGGAGUGCUCAGAGAUGGGUGUGCCUCUUUUGGGGUCGGUUCACAGGUGGUGCAUGCCUGUCGUCAGCUCGUGUCGUGAGAUGUUGGGUUAAGUCCCGCAACGAGCGCAACCCUUGUUCACUGUUGCCAGCACGUUAUGGUGGGGACUCAGUGGAGACCGCCGGGGUCAACUCGGAGGAAGGUGGGGAUGACGUCAAGUCCUCAUGCCCCUUAUGUCCAGGGCUUCACGCAUGCUACAAUGGCUGGUACAGAGAGUGGCGAGCCUGUGAGGGUGAGCGAAUCUCGGAAAGCCGGUCUCAGUUCGGAUUGGGGUCUGCAACUCGACCUCAUGAAGUCGGAGUCGCUAGUAAUCGCAGAUCAGCAACGCUGCGGUGAAUACGUUCCCGGG